Non-coding RNA from Mycena latifolia, 93 nucleotides. The record is from the annotation of a GenBank genome assembly. Lineage: Eukaryota; Fungi; Basidiomycota; Agaricomycetes; Agaricales; Mycenaceae.
AGCCUGAUGGCACAACUGGUUAGUGCAUCUACUUAUGUACCAAAAAUCUUAAGGCUUUAUUAGAAGAUCCCUGUUCGAUCCGGGGUCGGACCA